Molecule: ribosomal RNA, 956 nt
Filed under: Salmonella enterica subsp. enterica serovar Typhimurium
Lineage: Bacteria; Pseudomonadati; Pseudomonadota; Gammaproteobacteria; Enterobacterales; Enterobacteriaceae
Description: partial 23S ribosomal RNA
Rfam family: Bacterial large subunit ribosomal RNA
Source: RNAcentral
GGCGAGGGGAGUGAAAAAGAACCUGAAACCGUGUACGUACAAGCAGUGGGAGCACAGGUUUACCUGUGUGACUGCGUACCUUUUGUAUAAUGGGUCAGCGACUUAUAUUCUGUAGCAAGGUUAACCGAAUAGGGGAGCCGGAGGGAAACCGAGUCUUAAUUGGGCGUUAAGUUGCAGGGUAUAGACCCGAAACCCGGUGAUCUAGCCAUGGGCAGGUUGAAGGUUGGGUAACACUAACUGGAGGACCGAACCGACUAAUGUUGAAAAAUUAGCGGAUGACCUGUGGCUGGGGGUGAAAGGCCAAUCAAACCGGGAGAUAGCUGGUUCUCCCCGAAAGCUAUUUAGGUAGCGCCUCGUGAAUUCAUCUCCGGGGGUAGAGCACUGUUUCGGCUAGGGGGCCAUCCCGGCUUACCAACCCGAUGCAAACUGCGAAUACCGGAGAAUGUUAUCACGGGAGACACACGGCGGGUGCUAACGUCCGUCGUGAAGAGGGAAACAACCCAGACCGCCAGCUAAGGUCCCAAAGUCAUGGUUAAGUGGGAAACGAUGUGGGAAGGCCCAGACAGCCAGGAUGUUGGCUUAGAAGCAGCCAUCAUUUAAAGAAAGCGUAAUAGCUCACUGGUCGAGUCGGCCUGCGCGGAAGAUGUAACGGGGCUAAACCAUGCACCGAAGCUGCGGCAGCGAACGUAUCACCCAAGACAACUUUACGGAGUUGACGAUUGACGGAGCGAAGCGACGUCAAAGCGUUCAUUAAAGUCGAGUUGGCUUAGGGAUACGUUCGUUGGGUAGGGGAGCGUUCUGUAAGCCUGUGAAGGUGUGUCGUGAGGCAUGCUGGAGGUAUCAGAAGUGCGAAUGCUGACAUAAGUAACGAUAAAGCGGGUGAAAAGCCCGCUCGCCGGAAGACCAAGGGUUCCUGUCCAACGUUAAUCGGGGCAGGGUGAGUCGACCCCUAAGGC